UGGGGAAUAUUGGACAAUGGGCGAAAGCCUGAUCCAGCAAUACCGCGUGUGUGAAGAAGGCCUGAGGGUUGUAAAGCACUUUCAAUAGGAAGGAAUACCUACCGGUUAAUACCCGGUAGACUGACAUUACCUAUACAAGAAGCACCGGCUAACUCCGUGCCAGCAGCCGCGGUAAUACGGAGGGUGCAAGCGUUAAUCGGAAUUACUGGGCGUAAAGCGUGCGUAGGCGGUUUUUUAAGUCAGAUGUGAAAGCCCCGGGCUUAACCUGGGAACUGCAUUUGAUACUGGGAAACUAGAGUUGAGUAGAGGAGAGUGGAAUUUCAGGUGUAGCGGUGAAAUGCGUAGAGAUCUGAAGGAACACCAGUGGCGAAGGCGGCUCUCUGGACUCAAACUGACGCUGAGGUACGAAAGCGUGGGUAGCAAACAGG
This 428-nucleotide ribosomal RNA is filed under the name uncultured Methylomonas sp. RNAcentral's name for it is "bacterial SSU rRNA". It matches the Rfam family "Bacterial small subunit ribosomal RNA", at positions 355 to 776 of the family's 1533-position model. The record is from RNAcentral. Lineage: Bacteria; Pseudomonadati; Pseudomonadota; Gammaproteobacteria; Methylococcales; Methylococcaceae.